GAUGAACGCUGGCGGCGUGCCUAAUACAUGCAAGUCGAGCGAACGGACGAGAAGCUUGCUUCUCUGAUGUUAGCGGCGGACGGGUGAGUAACACGUGGAUAACCUACCUAUAAGACUGGGAUAACUUCGGGAAACCGGAGCUAAUAACGGAUGAUAUUUUGAACCGCAUGGUUCAAAAGUGAAAGACGGUCUUGCUGUCACUUAUAGAUGGAUCCGCGCUGCAUUAGCUAGUUGGUAAGGUAACGGCUUACCAAGGCAACGAUGCAUAGCCGACCUGAGAGGGUGAUCGGCCACACUGGAACUGAGACACGGUCCAGACUCCUACGGGAGGCAGCAGUAGGGAAUCUUCCGCAAUGGGCGAAAGCCUGACGGAGCAACGCCGCGUGAGUGAUGAAGGUCUUCGGAUCGUAAAACUCUGUUAUUAGGGAAGAACAUAUGUGUAAGUAACUGUGCACAGCUUGACGGUACCUAAUCAGAAAGCCACGGCUAACUACGUG
RNAcentral lists this ribosomal RNA (497 nucleotides) under uncultured bacterium. RNAcentral's name for it is "partial 16S ribosomal RNA". It matches the Rfam family "Bacterial small subunit ribosomal RNA", at positions 28 to 507 of the family's 1533-position model. The record is from RNAcentral.